CAGUAGCCGCGGGAAUACGUAGGUGGCAAGCGUUGUCCGGAAUUAUUGGGCGUAAAGGGCUCGCAGGCGGUUUCUUAAGUCGGAUGUGAAAGCCCCCGGCUCAACCGGGGAGGGUCAUUGGAAACUGGGAAACUUGAGUGCAGAAGAGGAGAGUGGAAUUCCACGUGUAGCGGUGAGAUGCGUAGGGAUGUGGAGGAACACCAGUGGCGAAGGCGACUAUCUGGUCUGUAACUGACGCUGAGGAGCGAAAGCGUGGGGAGCGGACAGGAUUAGAUACCCCGGUAGUCCCUGUCUCUUAUAC
Molecule: ribosomal RNA, 301 nt
Filed under: uncultured bacterium
Lineage: Bacteria
Description: partial 16S ribosomal RNA
Rfam family: Bacterial small subunit ribosomal RNA
Source: RNAcentral